CUUUUUUUUUUUUUUUUUUUUAAUUUUUCGCGGGUGGUGUAAAAAGCGCGAUGGACGAAAUGUAGAUAGACGACGCACGGGCACGAAAAGGAGCUCUAUCUAGAAAAAAAAAGUCUCGAAACCAACCAAAAAAAGAGUUUCUUUUUUUAUGUGUUUAAUGUAUACACACAUACAAUAUUAAGGUAUGAC
Molecule: non-coding RNA, 189 nt
Filed under: Amorphochlora amoebiformis
Lineage: Eukaryota; Cercozoa; Chlorarachniophyceae
Source: RNAcentral